UGAAAGCGAUGCGGCGCACUGCCGCCUCUCACAAGGAGGUGUGCGUGCGAUCUGUACCCGCUGCUGGGCUGAUCCCUUAAUGGACGCUGGGUUCUGCGGGCUCGUGCUGCCUCGCCGCUGUCCCGUGUCCCCAUUGAAGUGGCCCAACCCUUAAAGUGGUGGUCGAAGAUGGGCGUGAGGACGCGGCCGUGGUGCACAGGUAUAAGCCCGUGUCGAGCCUGGCGACCGUACUCCCUUAACUGUGGAGGGGGCGCAAGCCCGGGACUCGUCCGAUGUGACGGCUCUGUGGGGGGGGGCCUCUUCUGGGGCCUUCGCGCUGGGGCUGUCACGGACGAGUACCUUGAGCACACCUGUUAGUACCCGAGAGAUGGUGAACUAGACAUGGUCAGGGCGAAGCCAGAUUAAAACCUGUGUGGAGGCCCGCCUCUGUUCUGACGUGCAAAUCGAUAGUCAGAGCUGUGCUUAGGGGCGAAAGACCAAUCGAACCAUCUAUUUGCUGGUUCCCCCCGAAAUGUCCCACAGGACAGCUGGAGCUCGUUGAGGAGUCUCAUCCUGUAAAGAGAAUGAUUGGAGGUCUUGGGGGCGUAAUGCCCUCAACCUACUCUCAAACUUUAAAUGGGUGAGAAGCCGUGCUUGCUUGAGAGAGUGAAGCAUCGGCG
This 659-nucleotide ribosomal RNA is filed under the name Polyonyx gibbesi. RNAcentral describes it as "eukaryotic LSU rRNA". The stretch from base 275 to 659 matches the Rfam family "Eukaryotic large subunit ribosomal RNA", at positions 675 to 1107 of the family's 3401-position model. Lineage: Eukaryota; Metazoa; Arthropoda; Malacostraca; Decapoda; Porcellanidae. The record is from RNAcentral.